GGGAGCCGGGCCCAGGGCAGAAGGGGCAGGCGAGGGAGAGCCUGGAGCUCCCGGCGGUGUUCGAGGCCGUGGCAGUGUAUUUCACGCGGGAGGAGUGGGAGCUGCUGGACGACGAAGGCAAGGAGCUUUACCGGGACCAGAUGCUGAGGAAUUACCAAGCCCUCGUUUCCCUGGGAUAUCGAGGUCCCACCCCUGACUUAAUCUGCCGUCUCCAGCGAG
Molecule: long non-coding RNA, 219 nt
Organism: Alligator sinensis (Chinese alligator)
Lineage: Eukaryota; Metazoa; Chordata; Crocodylia; Alligatoridae
Exons: 3
Source: RefSeq, a predicted model, not a curated record